This 316-nucleotide long non-coding RNA is filed under the name Androctonus crassicauda. The record is from RNAcentral. Lineage: Eukaryota; Metazoa; Arthropoda; Arachnida; Scorpiones; Buthidae.
GCCUUUUCUGGGGUCGAUCUAGGGACCUUUAAGGUACUUUCGGAUCCUAAUUCCAAGUCUGGGGGACCGAUAGCUUCGGUGAUUGCUCCUGCAAAGGGGCAUGAACCGGUCGGGCUCACCGAUAAGGAUCGGGCUUCCGGGGGUUCCACUGGUUCCUCCAACGCCUAGGUUACAGAGGAGGGCCUGGUUCUUUGCCCACCUUAGAUGUUUGUUAGGUCAUGGGUCUGAGGGUGAUCCAGAUCAACCUCCAGCACUCCCGAGCCGCUUCCGCCCUGUUGGGUCGGCUGCUGUGACCUUGCUCUAAUUCAGGAGCCAU